GACCAAGGAGUCCUUCGAGUCGGCGAGCCAAUGGCCCGUCGUACGAACGCCAUAGGCGCAGCGAAAGCGCCCCCGCCGCCCCGCGCGCGGGUCGGUGCGUGACGAGACGAUGGCGGAGCGCGCGACGUCGCGCCGCCGCCCGCAGUCUCGAGGCGGUCCUCUAAUUACGUCGAGGCCGUCCUUCGAGCCGGCGCGAAGGCACCCGAAAGGUGGUGACCUAUGCCCGAUCAGGGUCAAGUUAGGGGAAACCCUGAUGAAAGCUCGCUAACGCUUCUGACGUGCAAAUCGAUCGUCCAAGUCGGGUAUAGGGGCGAAAGACCAAUCGAACCACCUAGUAGCUGGUUCCUCCCGAAGUUUCCCUCAGGAUAGCUAGAGCGGGAGAGGAGACGAGAGUUGCACGUGGUAAAGCGAAUGAUUAGAGGCAUUGGGGCUGAAACGGCCUCAACCUAUUCUCAAACUUUAAAUAUGUGCGAGCCGGCGGCCCCGGGAACGGGGCGCGCCGGCAAAUGAAGCGCUCUAAGUGGGCCGUCCAUGGUAAGCAUGGCCGGCGAUGUGGGAUGAACCAAAUGCGGAGUUAGAGUGCCUAAAGCUAUGUUAAUGUGAUACCACGAAAGGCGUUAGUAGCUAUGGACAACAGGUCGGUGGCCAUGGAAGUA
Molecule: ribosomal RNA, 656 nt
Filed under: Endytocera sp. JP-2016
Lineage: Eukaryota; Metazoa; Arthropoda; Insecta; Coleoptera; Staphylinidae
Description: eukaryotic LSU rRNA
Rfam family: Eukaryotic large subunit ribosomal RNA
Source: RNAcentral